UAGGGAAUUUUGCGCAAUGGAGGAAACUCUGACGCAGCGACGCCGUGUGAACGAUGAAGGCCCUCGGGUCGUAAAGUUCUGUCAGAAGGGAAGAAUAAAGCUCAUACCUAAUACGUAUGAGCCUUGACGGUACCUUCAGAGGAAGCACCGGCUAACUACGUGCCAGCAGCCGCGGUAAUACGUAGGGUGCUAGCGUUGUUCGGAAUUAUUGGGCGUAAAGCGGGUGUAGGUGGUUUAUUAAGUCAGAUGUGAAAGCCCUCGGCUCAACCGGGGAAGUGCAUCUGAAACUACUAAGCUAGAGGACGGCAGAGGGAAGUGGAAUUCCUAGUGUAGAGGUGAAAUUCGUAGAUAUUAGGAGGAAUACCUGUGGCGAAGGCGGCUUCCUGGACCGUUCCUGACACUGAGAUCCGAAAGCGUGGGUAGCAAACAGGAUUAGAUACCCCCGUAGUCC
Molecule: ribosomal RNA, 451 nt
Filed under: uncultured prokaryote
Description: bacterial SSU rRNA
Rfam family: Bacterial small subunit ribosomal RNA
Source: RNAcentral